GGGGAAUAUGAUACUCAGAGGGGAAUAUGAUCCUCAGAGGUGAAUAUGAAGAUUUGUUCAAUGACACGUGUAAAGUCUCAACCAAUCAAAUAUUGUUUAAACUAUCAAUAUGUAUAAACAGUGGAAUAAAAUUGAUUGUUCAAUUUUACUGUGGAAAUUGUUUAAUAAAGUUUUCAAUUUUUAAAUUCAAGUUCGGUGAAGAUUGAAACCAACAUGCUUGGACAAAAAAAGUUAUUUUGUAUUAGUUUAAUUCAACAGUUAUGGAGAGUAUAUUGCUAUCUGGAUAUUUUCUUUAAGAAAGAGACUGUUCUUCAGUCGACUGUGUUGCUUAUUCUUUAGUUUUCUAUGCUAUGUCAUGUGUUCUAUUGUUUGUCUGUUUGUCUUUUUUCAUUUCAGCCAGGCAUUGUCAGUUUAUUUUCGAUUUAUGAGUUUGACUUUUCCUCUGGUAUCUUUCGUCCCUCUUUUAGUUAUAUAUAGUCUAAUGUCUAAUGUCCAAUGUCUAUUGUGGCAAUGAAAUUCUGCUACUUUAGUAAUAAUACAUUAACCAGGCUUGCAUCACCUGUUCAAAUAAAGGACAAUUUCCUCUUCUUAAUAUUGAACAGACCUUGAUUUCGCAUUCUAAUAUAAAA
RNAcentral lists this long non-coding RNA (629 nucleotides) under Mytilus galloprovincialis (Mediterranean mussel). Lineage: Eukaryota; Metazoa; Mollusca; Bivalvia; Mytilida; Mytilidae. The record is from RNAcentral.